UGCUCCCUUAGGUCUAGGCGGACGGGUGAGUAACACGUGGGUAACCUGCCUGUAAGACUGGGAUAACUCCGGGAAACCGGGGCUAAUACCGGAUGCUUGAUUGAACCGCAUGGUUCAAUCAUAAAAGGUGGCUUUUAGCUACCACUUACAGAUGGACCCGCGGCGCAAUAGCUAGUUGGUGAGGUAACGGCUCACCAAGGCGACGAUGCGUAGCCCACCUGAGAGGGUGAUCGGCCACACUGGGACUGAAACACGGCCCAGACUCCUACGGGAGGCAGCAGUAGGGAAUCUUCCGCAAUGGACGAAAGUCUGACGGAACAACGCCCCGUGAGUGAUGAAGGUUUUCGGAUCGUAAAACUCUGUUGUUAGGGAAGAACAAGUACCGUUCGAAUAGGGCGGUACCUUGACGGUACCUAACCAGAAAGCCACGGCUAACUACGUGCCAGCAGCCGCGGUAAUACGUAGGUGGCAAGCGUUGUCCGGAAUUAUUGGGCGUAAAGCGCGCGCAGGCGGUUUCUUAAGUCUGAUGUGAAAGCCCCCGGCUCAACCGGGGAGGGUCAUUGGAAACUGGGGAACUUGAGUGCAGAAGAGGAGAGUGGAAUUCCACGUGUAGCGGUGAAAUGCGUAGAGAUGUGGAGGAACACCAGUGGCGAAAGCGACUCUCUGGUCUGUAACUGACGCUGAGGCGCGAAAGCGUGGGGAGCGAACAGGAUUAGAUACCCUGGUAGUCCACGCCGUAAACGAUGAGUGGUAAGUGUUAGAGGGUUUCCGCCCUUUAGUGGUGCAGCAAACGCAUUAAGCACUCCGCCUGGGGAGUACGGUCGCAAGACUGAAACUCAAAGGAAUUGACGGGGGCCCGCACCAGCGGUGGAGCAUGUGGUUUAAUUUGAAGCAACGCGAAGAACCUUACCAGGUCUUGACAUCCUCUGACAACCCUAGAGAUAGGGCUUCCCCUUCGGGGGCAGAGUGACAGGUGGUGCAUGGUUGUUGUCAGCUCGUGUCGUGAGAUGUUGGGUUAAGUCCCGCAACGAGCGCAACCCUUGAUCUUAGUUGCCAGCAUUCAGUUGGGCACUCUAAGGUGACUGCCGGUGACAAACCGGAGGAAGGUGGGGAGGACGUCAAAUCAUCAUGCCCCUUAUGACCUGGGCUACACACCUGCUACAAUGGGCAGAACAAAGGGCAGCGAAGCCGCGAGGGUAAGCCAAUCCCACAAAUCUGUUCUCAGUUCGGAUCGCAGUCUGCAACUCGAAUGCGUGAAGCGGAAUCGCUGUAAUCGCGGAUCAGCAUGCCGCGGUGAAUACGUUCCCGGGCCUUUACACACCGCC
This 1325-nucleotide ribosomal RNA is filed under the name Bacillus licheniformis. Its description in RNAcentral is "bacterial SSU rRNA". It matches the Rfam family "Bacterial small subunit ribosomal RNA", at positions 81 to 1394 of the family's 1533-position model. Lineage: Bacteria; Bacillati; Bacillota; Bacilli; Caryophanales; Bacillaceae. The record is from RNAcentral.